This 52-nucleotide transfer RNA is filed under the name Longidorus vineacola. RNAcentral's name for it is "tRNA-His". The record is from RNAcentral. Lineage: Eukaryota; Metazoa; Nematoda; Enoplea; Dorylaimida; Longidoridae.
UAGCUUAUAGUUUUCAGAAUAUUAGAGUGUGGAUCUAAAGGUAUAAAGCUGC